Molecule: RNase P RNA, 359 nt
Filed under: Gallaecimonas pentaromativorans
Lineage: Bacteria; Pseudomonadati; Pseudomonadota; Gammaproteobacteria; Enterobacterales; Gallaecimonadaceae
Also listed under: 1 other name
Description: Bacterial RNase P class A
Rfam family: Bacterial RNase P class A
About the family: Ribonuclease P (RNase P) is a ubiquitous endoribonuclease, found in archaea, bacteria and eukarya as well as chloroplasts and mitochondria. Its best characterised activity is the generation of mature 5'-ends of tRNAs by cleaving the 5'-leader elements of precursor-tRNAs.
Source: RNAcentral
AGAGUCGGCCGGACGGUUGCCGCCCACAUCGUGGGGGGAGGAAAGUCCGGGCUCCAUAGGGCAGGGUGCCAGGUAACGCCUGGGCGGCGCAAGCCGACGACAAGUGCAGCAGAGAGUAGACCGCCGAUGGCCCGUGUUAAAGCGGUGCACAGGUAAGGGUGAAAGGGUGCGGUAAGAGCGCACCGCGCGUCUGGCAACAGUUCGUGGCACGGUAAACUCCACCCGGAGCAAGACCAAAUAGGCCCCCGUUAAGUGUGGCCCGCGCAGGGGGCGGGUAGGUUGCUUGAGCCAGUGAGCGAUUGCUGGCCUAGACGAAUGACCGUUCAAGACAGAACCCGGCUUACAGGCUGGCUCUGCGG